GGUUCCUGACCGCCGCAACAGCAUCUUCAUGACAUCUUUGCAAAUAACGAAGCAUUGCUUUCUCCCACGCACUCAUUUUCUUCAGCUUAUCGUGAGGGCCAACUAUGGUUUUCCCCUUGCCGCGGGAGGAACGACGAUAUCCCCCACCAUCGCCACUACAUCCAGCAUCAGAAGCCAUCUCUAUGUACCACAAAAUAUUUAGCUCAUAUUUAAUUUACAAAUAACUAAACUAUUAAAAAAUUCAAUAUUUUCCACAUAACUUACUUAUUCUAAAAAUGGCUAAUUGCAUACCUCUAUCUGAAAAGUACUAAAGUAUUAAAGUAUCAAAUUACACCUACAAUUUAUAUGGCUAAUUUAUAAGUGUUAACACAUUUACUCUAAUUUUUCCCUAAUACAUAAAAUUGAAAUAAUCUCAAUUCUACCUCACAUUUACUAUCCAUUUUCCCUCACAUUCUAAC
This 458-nucleotide long non-coding RNA is filed under the name Setaria viridis. RNAcentral describes it as "long non-coding RNA (SVIR_LNC010774)". Lineage: Eukaryota; Viridiplantae; Streptophyta; Magnoliopsida; Poales; Poaceae. The record is from RNAcentral.